GGAUGUGAGGGUGAUCUGGCUGUAACAUCCUUCACCCCACUGAUUGCCACAGUUGAUUUGGCUGAUCUGGCUGGCUAGGUGGGUGUCUCCAUCCUCCCUCAAGCCUCCAUAUGUGUCCCUCCUGAAUCUGUGUGCUCAAUGGUCAAAGAGGACGACUGCCCCAGACAAAGAAGGACCAUGUCCUCGGAUGAGGGUAUACAAGUAGCUGCACUCCCCAGGUAAAACCUCCAAAGAGGCUCUCUAGGUCCAAAAAAACUGGAUAGAAAGGAGCCAAUCACAAAAAAUAUUAAACUCAUUGCAGUUCUAUUUCUAGAAAGUUCUG
Molecule: small nuclear RNA, 322 nt
Filed under: Chinchilla lanigera (long-tailed chinchilla)
Lineage: Eukaryota; Metazoa; Chordata; Mammalia; Rodentia; Chinchillidae
Description: 7SK RNA (ENSCLAG00000021621.1)
Rfam family: 7SK RNA
About the family: 7SK was discovered as an abundant small nuclear RNA in the mid-70s but a possible function has only recently been suggested.
Source: RNAcentral